Paramisgurnus dabryanus is the source of this 1063-nucleotide long non-coding RNA. RefSeq lists it as uncharacterized. NCBI's taxonomy places the organism in Eukaryota, Metazoa, Chordata, Actinopteri, Cypriniformes, Cobitidae. The record is from RefSeq and is a predicted model, not a curated record.
GUAUAAAGAACAAUGCAUAGUGUGAAAAUGCGGAUUAUAAAAAAGUAUAUUAAAGAAAAGGACUACAUUUCCCAGAAUGCACCUGCACCCACUCAUCUGACUGCCCCCACCCUUCAGGUGCGACUGCUCAACCUAUGGGCUUGACGGAAAAUUCAAAUCGCGAACCGUUACUGCCUGGACUACUCCGUCUCUUGUUUGUUUGUUUGCUCAUUAACAGUAAGAGGUCAUGUACACUGUGGUCAACUUUGUGGACGAUGUAAAGGUUUCUGGGUAAAGAUGAUAGAAAUAUAAGGAAGUAACAGUGAAAGCUAAAACAUCAGACUGAUCCAGACACUGAAGAAAUUGAUGUCACUGCAAUCUGGCCAAAAUGAUACAACUAUAUUGAAGUAGCCUACUGUAAUGAAGCUGCAGAACAACACAGAGACUCUGAGGACAUCAACACAGAAAAUUAAGGCUCCAAAGAGAUGUCUGUCCAGAUGAGGGUGCAUCAAUGUUACGUUUGCUGACAAGUAUAUGCUUUACAAUGUAAAACCUAACAGUUAACUUAACUCAAACCAUUUAAGGAAAUCGGUUGCCUUAACCCAUUAAGUUUUAAAAAACAUACAUUUGAGUACUGUGAACUUAAGUCUUGUGCAAUUAUGCACUUAUAUUUAGUUAGUGUGAACUUAAAUAUAAGUGCAUAACUGCAUGUGACUCAAUUUGUUUAAGUUCACAGUACUCAAAUCCAUGUGUUUUAAAACUUAAAUGGUUUAAUGCAACCGGUUUUCUUAAAUGGUUUGAGUUUAGUUAACUUUUAGGUUUUACAGUGAGAAAUUCUUGAAUAAUUCCAAGACAGAGCUCUGCAAUUGAAUCAACACUGCAAAAAAUCAGUUUCUAACUUAGGAUUUUUAUCUUGUUUUUAGUAGAAAAACUAAAAAUUCUUAAAUCAAGAUGUAUUUUCUUGAUGAGCAAAAUUACCUAAGAAAAUGUCUAGUUUUUAGACAAAAAUAUACAAUUUAAGUAAAUUUGUGCCUGAACAAGCAAAAAUAUAUAACAAUGGGGUGAGAAAAUUGUGCUUGAAUUA